This 274-nucleotide long non-coding RNA is filed under the name Salmo trutta (river trout). Its description in RNAcentral is "lncRNA (ENSSTUG00000013356.1)". The record is from RNAcentral. Lineage: Eukaryota; Metazoa; Chordata; Actinopteri; Salmoniformes; Salmonidae.
CCAGUGUGCAUCGAUUCGAUAAACCCAAUCAUUGAUCACAGCGAUCGAUCAAGUCAUGUCAAGGGGAUAAUCGUACUCCGGAUUUUGGAAAAUACUGCAUAUCAACGGAUAUCCAUUGCAACAGUUCUGUCAUCUGAGGAUAGAGCAAGAGGUUGAGAGAGGGAGGAGUUCCCUCUUGUAUUGCCAGGCUGACCAGUGAGGUCUCUUAGUAUUGAGGAGUUGCUUUUCCCAUUAAACGGAAUUUCAGAGAGCGAACCUGGUGAGUAACCAAUGG